GAUGAACGCUGGCGGCGUGCCUAAUACAUGCAAGUCGAACGGAAAAUUCUUGGUACUUGUAUCGGGAGUUUUUAGUGGCGAACGGGUGAGUAACGCGUUGGUGACCUACCCCAAAGUGGGGGAUAACAGAUCGAAAGGUCUGCUAAUACCUCAUGUUGUCAUUGUCUUUAGAAAGCGAUGAUUAAAGGAGCAAUCCGCUUUGGGAGGGGCCUGCGUCCCAUCAGCUAGUUGGUAGGGUAAUGGCCUACCAAGGCGUCGACGGGUAAGGGACCUGAGAGGGUGGCCCCUCACAAUGGAACUGAAACACGGUCCAUACACCUACGGGUGGCAGCAGUAGGGAAUAUUGCACAAUGGACGAAAGUCUGAUGCAGCAACGCCGCGUGUACGAUGAAGGCCUUCGGGUCGUAAAGUACUUUUCAGGGAGAUGAGAAAGGACAGUAC
RNAcentral lists this ribosomal RNA (441 nucleotides) under uncultured Anaerolineaceae bacterium. RNAcentral's name for it is "bacterial SSU rRNA". It matches the Rfam family "Bacterial small subunit ribosomal RNA", at positions 28 to 461 of the family's 1533-position model. The record is from RNAcentral. Lineage: Bacteria; Bacillati; Chloroflexota; Anaerolineae; Anaerolineales; Anaerolineaceae.